GAUGAACGCUGGCGGCGUGCCUAAUACAUGCAAGUCGAGCGAACGGACGAGAAGCUUGCUUCUCUGAUGUUAGCGGCGGACGGGUGAGUAACACGUGGAUAACCUACCUAUAAGACUGGGAUAACUUCGGGAAACCGGAGCUAAGACCGGAUAAUAUUUUGAACCGCAUGGUUCAAAAGUGAAAGACGGUCUUGUUGUCACUUAUAGAUGGAUCCGCGCUGCAUUAGCUAGUUGGUAAGGUAACGGCUUACCAAGGCAACGAUGCAUAGCCGACCUGAGAGGGUGAUCGGCCACACUGGAACUGAGACACGGUCCAGACUCCUACGGGAGGCAGCAGUAGGGAAUCUUCCGCAAUGGGCGAAAGCCUGACGGAGCAACGCCGCGUGAGUGAUGAAGGUCUUCGGAUCGUAAAACUCUGUUAUUAGGGAAGAACAUAUGUGUAAGUAACUGUGCACAUCUUGACGGUACCUGAUCAGAAAGCCACGGCUAACUACGUG
Molecule: ribosomal RNA, 497 nt
Filed under: uncultured bacterium
Lineage: Bacteria
Description: partial 16S ribosomal RNA
Rfam family: Bacterial small subunit ribosomal RNA
Source: RNAcentral